GUCCUAGCCGUAAACGAUGAACACUAGGCGUAGUCGGUAUCGACCCCGGCUGUGCCGAAGCUAACGCAUUAAGUGUUCCGCCUGGGGAGUACGGCCGCAAGGCUAAAACUCAAAGGAAUUGACGGGGGCCCGCACAAGCAGCGGAGCGUGUGGUUUAAUUCGUCGCAACGCGAAGAACCUUACCAGGGCUUGACAUGCACCGGAAAACGGCGGAAACGUCGUCCUCCCGCAAGGGAUCGGUGUGCAGGUGUUGCAUGGCUGUCGU
Molecule: ribosomal RNA, 265 nt
Filed under: uncultured bacterium
Lineage: Bacteria
Description: partial 16S ribosomal RNA
Rfam family: Bacterial small subunit ribosomal RNA
Source: RNAcentral